UGUCGGUGAAGGGGAGCAAGCGCGUCAAGUGGACGGAGAUGAAGCGCAACUGGGGGCAAGUGUGGCAGACCGGGGAGGACCUCACCUGCGAGUCGCUGACGUUCCGGGUGAUGACUAGCGACCACCGCAAGGCCACCUCAUGGCACGUUCUCCCCGCUGACUGGAAGUUCGGCGUCACGUACCAGGCGUCCAAGAACUUCUAAGUAGCCACUUUCCCUCCUCUUCUUCAACCUGCAUGCCCGCAAGCAGCCAUGCAGAUUAUAACAUGCAUCAUGCAUGCAUAUUCAUUCUUUCGCUCAUGCACUCCGAUACGGUGCCAGAGUUAAAAAAUGUAAAUCAAUAUGCAAAUUCAAAUUACAUCUUAACCAGUUGUGAUCAAUCUUUAUAAAUUCGUAAUAAAUUCAUCUUAGCUUAGAAAAAUAUGAAAC
RNAcentral lists this long non-coding RNA (428 nucleotides) under Zea mays. RNAcentral describes it as "long non-coding RNA (ZMAY_LNC005315)". Lineage: Eukaryota; Viridiplantae; Streptophyta; Magnoliopsida; Poales; Poaceae. The record is from RNAcentral.